UACGGAGGGUGCGAGCGUUUGUCCGGAUUUAUUGGGUUUAAAGGAUGCGUAGGUGGCGUUGUUAAGUCAGUGGUGAAAUACAGCCGCUCAACGGUUGAGGUGCCAUUGAUACUGACAGCUGAAACAAGUGGAGGUUGCCGGAAUGGAUGGUGUAGCGGUGAAAUGCAUAGAUAUCAUCCAGAACACCGAUUGCGAAGGCAGGUGACUACGUUGAUUUGACACUGAGGCACGAAAGCAUGGGGAGCAAACAGG
This 252-nucleotide ribosomal RNA is filed under the name uncultured bacterium. Its description in RNAcentral is "partial 16S ribosomal RNA". It matches the Rfam family "Bacterial small subunit ribosomal RNA", at positions 524 to 776 of the family's 1533-position model. The record is from RNAcentral.